This 950-nucleotide ribosomal RNA is filed under the name uncultured archaeon. RNAcentral describes it as "bacterial SSU rRNA". It matches the Rfam family "Archaeal small subunit ribosomal RNA", at positions 1 to 937 of the family's 1478-position model. The record is from RNAcentral.
UUCCGGUUGAUCCCGCCGGACCCGACUGCUAUUUGGGUGAGGAUAAGCCAUGCGAGUCGAAUGGGAUACCUAAAGUUCCCAUGGCAGACUGCUCAGUAACACAUGAUCAACUUACCCUAUGGAGAAAAAUAACCUCGGGAAACUGAGGAUAAUGCUUCAUAGUUGAAAAGGCUUGGAAAAGUUUUUCAAUGAAAUGGAUAAGAAAAAUGGUUCUUAUUUACCAUAGGAUAGGAUCGUGGUCGAUUAUGGUUGUUGGUGAGGUAAAGGCUCACCAAGCCGAUAAUCGAUGGGGGCCGUGAGAGCGGGAGCCCCGAGAUGGGUACUGAGACAACGACCCAGGCCUUACGAGGCGCAGCAGGCGCGGAACCUCCGCAAUACACGAAAGUGUGACGGGGUUACCCAAAGUGUUCAUUUCUGAACUGUGGUAGGUGAGUAAUGUCCCCUACUAGAAAGGAGAGGGCAAGGCUGGUGCCAGCCGCCGCGGUAAAACCAGCUCUUCAAGUGGUCGGGAUAAUUAUUGGGCUUAAAGUGUCCGUAGCCUGUUUAGUAAGUUCUUGGUAAAAUCGGGUAGCUUAACUAUCCGCGUGCUAGGAAUACUGCUAUACUAGAGGGCGGGAGAGGUCUGAGGUACUACAGGGGUAGGGGUGAAAUCUUAUAAUCCUUGUAGGACCACCAGUGGCGAAGGCGUCAGACUGGAACGCGCCUGACGGUGAGGGACGAAAGCCAGGGGAGCGAACCGGAUUAGAUACCCGGGUAGUCCUGGCCGUAAACGAUGCAUACUAGGUGAUGGCACGGCCAUGAGCCGUGUCGGUGCCGUAGGGAAACCGUUAAGUGUGCCGCCUGGGAAGUACGGUCGCAAGGCUAAAACUUAAAGGAAUUGGCGGGGGAGCACCACAAGGGGUGAAGCCUGCGGUUCAAUUGGAGUCAACGCCGGGAAUCACUAGUGCGGC